This 253-nucleotide ribosomal RNA is filed under the name uncultured bacterium. RNAcentral describes it as "partial 16S ribosomal RNA". It matches the Rfam family "Bacterial small subunit ribosomal RNA", at positions 524 to 776 of the family's 1533-position model. The record is from RNAcentral.
UACGAAGGGGGCUAGCGUUGCUCGGAAUCACUGGGCGUAAAGGGUGCGUAGGCGGGUCUUUAAGUCAGGGGUGAAAUCCUGGAGCUCAACUCCAGAACUGCCUUUGAUACUGGGGAUCUCGAGUCCGGAAGAGGUGAGUGGAACUCCGAGUGUAGAGGUGAAAUUCGUAGAUAUUCGGAAGAACACCAGUGGCGAAGGCGGCUCACUGGUCCGGUACUGACGCUGAGGAGCGAAAGCGUGGGGAGCGAACAGG